RNAcentral lists this ribosomal RNA (198 nucleotides) under uncultured bacterium. RNAcentral describes it as "partial 16S ribosomal RNA". It matches the Rfam family "Bacterial small subunit ribosomal RNA", at positions 326 to 539 of the family's 1533-position model. The record is from RNAcentral.
ACGCUCGACACCUACGGGAAGCAGCAGUGGGGAAUAUUGCACAAUGGGGGAAACCCUGAUGCAGCGACGCCGCGUGAAGGAAGAAGUAUCUCGGUAUGUAAACUUCUAUCAGCAGGGAAGAAAAUGACGGUACCUGACUAAGAAGCCCCGGCUAACUACGUGCCAGCAGCCGCGGUAAUCUGAGCGGGCUGGCAAGGC